GCCGUAGCUCAGUGGCAGAGCAUCUGCUUUGCAUGCUGAAGGUCCUGGGUUCAAUCCCCAGCAUCUCUA
Molecule: non-coding RNA, 69 nt
Organism: Podarcis lilfordi (Lilford's wall lizard)
Lineage: Eukaryota; Metazoa; Chordata; Lepidosauria; Squamata; Lacertidae
Source: the annotation of a GenBank genome assembly